CUAGUACAUGCUACUUAUUAUCUUGAUUCUUAAAUGAUUAAAACAGCAGUGGCAAACCAACGUGAUUGAAUCGAGAAAAUUAUAAUCAUCAAGAUAAUUAGAAAUAUCAUUCAAUAAGAGAUCAGAGUGAUACACAAAAAUCUCAUAAAUGAGUUUUUGAAUUGAAGAGGGUAAAAAGAUAUAAUUUUCAAAGAAUAACAAUUGAG
RNAcentral lists this unclassified non-coding RNA (206 nucleotides) under Hevea brasiliensis (rubber tree). The record is from RNAcentral. Lineage: Eukaryota; Viridiplantae; Streptophyta; Magnoliopsida; Malpighiales; Euphorbiaceae.